This 75-nucleotide transfer RNA is filed under the name Rhodospirillales bacterium. RNAcentral describes it as "tRNA-Glu". It matches the Rfam family "tRNA". From Rfam's summary of the family: Transfer RNA (tRNA) molecules are approximately 80 nucleotides in length. Their secondary structure includes four short double-helical elements and three loops (D, anti-codon, and T loops). The record is from RNAcentral. Lineage: Bacteria; Pseudomonadati; Pseudomonadota; Alphaproteobacteria; Rhodospirillales.
GUCCCCUUCGUCUAGCGGUUAGGACAUCGCCCUCUCAAGGCGAAAACACGGGUUCAAUUCCCGUAGGGGACGCCA